This 234-nucleotide ribosomal RNA is filed under the name uncultured bacterium. RNAcentral's name for it is "partial 16S ribosomal RNA". It matches the Rfam family "Bacterial small subunit ribosomal RNA", at positions 96 to 334 of the family's 1533-position model. The record is from RNAcentral.
UGGCGGACGGGUGAGUAAUGUCUGGGAAACUGCCUGAUGGAGGGGGGUAACUAUGGAAACGGUAGCUAAUACCGCAUAACGUCGCAAGACCAAAGAGGGGGACCUUCGGGCCUCUUGCCAUCGGAUGUGCCCAGAUGGGAUUAGCUAGUAGGUGGGGUAAAGGCUCACCUAGGCGACGAUCCCUAGCUGGUCUGAGAGGAUGACCAGCCACACUGGAACUGAGACACGGUCCAG